UCCUAAUUUAAGAUUAUCGGAAGAAUUGUCCAUUUUGCGUGAUAUUCCUUCUUCUGUGGCAUUCAGCGGACAGACAGAAAGCUCUGGAGAGCUCCACACUCUCUCUGUGCGUCCUGGGGUCCAUGAGCAGUGCUACAGCGCCCACUAUUUCAACAAGCAGGAAUAUGAUUUCACAAGAUCUGGAACCACUCAAUAAAAAAAAAGUUACUAUCCCUUUCGACAACUCUUCGCUAACUUUCCUGUAACAAUUCUCUACGGUUUCUCGACUUCGCUAAAACAAGAGAGUGAAACAACGCGGCGUGGAAACGCGCUGCUGACCAUUUCAGCCCAAGCACCAUCACAAGAAACUUCUGAAUAAGCACACCACGGCAGCAUCUGGUCUAAAGGCUGGACGCGUGGAUCACGGAGAGUUUGGGCGAUUUCGAUGCAUUUGAGAGCUGAAAAACACACGCACCGGACACAGAACGCGCUCUCAGCAGGAACUGAUCAAUGAAAAUGACACUUUGGUGAUGUGCGCGAGGGUUCAAAGUACCGGGAGCGAAAGAAGCGCAAGAAGGACCUACUUUUGGCCAGUUUUCUCGCCCUCGCCUUGGAUCUCAUCUUGUCGGCUUGUAGAUUCCUCGCGUCCUCCUUGAGCUCAGAAGCAGCAGCAGCGCUAUCUUCAUCUCACGAGCAUUAUCACUUAUCUCUUUCCCUCCUCCUCCUCUCGCUCCGCAACAUCUCAGAUCUCCCCCCACCUCCCCUUCUUGAGCACUUGAGGAGGAAUAAGUGCUAUUUUCCAGGGACCUGCGGAAUCCGGCACGACGCUGGACACUGGAUCCUGGAUGGGGUCAAGGUCGCAGCCCUCAUACGCAAGAUUGUUGCCAUUUUCCUAUGGUUAAGCACAGGAAGGGAGGGAUGCUGGCCCGGAAGAGAGGUGUUCUGCAAACCAGGCCCCAGUAACAUCCACGGAGUUUUUUUUUGUCCUCUCUAUUAAUCAGGGACAGAAUUGAAGAGGUUUGUCAAUAGAGUAUCAAAUCAGUCACAAGCCUAAAUAAAUCCCUGUAAUUUUAAACGUAUUAAACCAUGAUAUGUCUGAAUAUGUCUACAGUUGUAAGUGGAUUUUUUUUAAAUAAACUUACUAAGUCAAAUAAAAUGUAUUCAGGCACCACUG
Long non-coding RNA from Carassius carassius (crucian carp), 1153 nucleotides. RefSeq lists it as uncharacterized. The transcript has 3 exons. NCBI's taxonomy places the organism in Eukaryota, Metazoa, Chordata, Actinopteri, Cypriniformes, Cyprinidae. The record is from RefSeq and is a predicted model, not a curated record.